UCGUUUCUCUACCGAUUUCGCCGUCGCCUUCAUCAAAUUCUCUACCGAUUUCGCCAUCGCCUCCGUCGAUUUCUCAGCCGAGGUCCCGUCGUCGUGUCUCCAUCAUGAUUUUUCUCAAUUUGGUUUCGUUUAUGUACAUAAAUCAAAUACCCAGGUUUGCAUUUGAGAAAUUCCCAGGAUCUCAACCGGUGUUGACAACCCAGAUGAAGUCUGUUGGUGAAUCCAUGGCAGUAGGGUACACGUUUCAAGAAUCUUUUCCAAGGCAGUCAGAUCACUCGAGUGUGGCUUCUCUGGUUGGGGUUGUGCACCAAUCAAGGAACUGGACUGGGAUUGGGACAAGUUGAAAUACAGGUGCAAUUUUCUUGCAGUGAAUGUAAAAUACACUUGACUUAUGUCUUCCAUGCAGCUUAUAUUACAUUGUAAAGGAGGAUAUCUGAGACCUGGUAAUAUUUUUAGCUCUCCUGUGUUUGUUAUGUUUUAGUUAUAUGAUCAAUGUUUUUACAUCAUCUUUCAAUUGUAUGAGUUCAAACUAUAUUCCCUGAUAAAACAUCGGUGGUGAAAUUGGUGAUUUCUACUCUAAAUUGCUAAGAACUAUGAUAAGAAGGUCUUGUACUUGGGAGAAAGGAAACCAAGGAAACCAAGUUUCUGUUAUGGUCAUGAAAAUAGGUUAUUGGAACACUCCAUCUAUAUGAAACCCAAGGACAAAGAAUGUGAGGCAAAACCUUUCAUUCUAACCCUUCUCAAUAAAGUAACUUCAGCCAGACAUCCCAAAUUGAAUAGGAGCCAGGAUACAGCCAUAACUUAUUUUCAACCGCUUAGCUUCCACACACCAUCCUGCCAUGUUCUUGAUUAAACUUGUACAUCCCUCUUGCUCUGACUAGCAACAGCUCUCCCUCUACUUAUAGGACUAGUGUGGCUCAUUUCUCAAUGAUCUUGGACAAGGGAAACCUUGCUGUAAUGUUUAAAACAAAAUAAAUAUUGGGACUUGACCCGCCUUAGAAUUUGAUCAAAUUCAGUGUUCAAGCUAGAAGCAUAUAUUGCAAUUUUCUGUAUAUGGUCUUCCUGUAAGCCUCUUACUGGCAUAUUAGAAAAACUUAUCAUCCUACUUGAUUCUUGCUAAACCAAUUGCUAUCUGCAUGACCCUUUAAUUAAUCUCUUGCGAACGCACUCUGAUGCAUAUUUUAUUUUGUUUCUAAAAAAAGGAUAUAGGCAGCAGGCUUAAUCACGCUUUGCUCCAUCCUUAGUGGUGUGUUGCUACAUUCAAGUAGAGGAAUGACUUCUAUGGUGCCACUAAAACAUUAAGGUUUCAGUUUAUCGUUGCUUACCUCCUUCCUAUUCAUUUUAUUUAAAACUUUUUUGACCAUGGAGACAUUUCUACAAAAGGUGGUCAAGGAGUUGCAUAUUAACAAAAACCUGACCUUUCUUGCCGUAGCUUUUUGGUGCUCAAGGAGUUGUACUCGCCUAUGUCUAUGUGUGUGUGUUAGGUUAUUGGAGACUUGCAACACCUUUCAGUCUUUAUAUUUUUACCCCCUGUAUUUUUACCUUUCAUGUUGUUUGUGGAUUGUUUUGGUUAUGGUUCAAAUUUAUACUUCAUGGAAUAUUUCAUGUCGUUUGCUCGUUAUUGUCAGAUUAGUCUAUGUUCAAGACCAAGUUUUUCAUCCUCAUUAACUGUUCAAGACCAACUUUCGGAGACUCAAGAUCGUUAAACAUGCUAUGA
Long non-coding RNA from Cynara cardunculus var. scolymus (artichoke), 1717 nucleotides. RefSeq lists it as uncharacterized. The record is from RefSeq and is a predicted model, not a curated record. NCBI's taxonomy places the organism in Eukaryota, Viridiplantae, Streptophyta, Magnoliopsida, Asterales, Asteraceae. The transcript is spliced from 3 exons.